This 511-nucleotide ribosomal RNA is filed under the name uncultured bacterium. Its description in RNAcentral is "bacterial SSU rRNA". It matches the Rfam family "Bacterial small subunit ribosomal RNA", at positions 15 to 518 of the family's 1533-position model. The record is from RNAcentral.
GAUCAUGGCUCAGGAUGAACGCUAGCGACAGGCUUAGCACAUGCAAGUCGAGGGGCAGCACGGUGUAGCAAUACACUGGUGGCGACCGGCGCACGGGUGAGUAACACGUGUGCAACCAACCCCGUACCGGGAGAUAACCCGCGGAAACGUGGACUAACAUCCCAUGAUACUCGAGAGCCGCAUGGCUCUCGAUUUAAAAUUCCGGUGGUACGGGACGGGCACGCGCGACAUUAGGUAGUUGGCGGGGUAACGGCCCACCAAGCCGACGAUGUCUAGGGGUUCUGAGAGGAAGGUCCCCCACACUGGAACUGAGACACGGUCCAGACUCCUACGGGAGGCAGCAGUGAGGAAUAUUGGUCAAUGGGCGAGAGCCUGAACCAGCCAAGUCGCGUGAGGGAAGAAAUGGUCUAUGGCCUGUAAACCUCUUUUGUCAGGGAAGAAUAAGGAUGACGAGUCAUUCGAUGCCAGUACUUGACGAAUAAGCAUCGGCUAACUCCGUGCCAGCCGCUGC